This 1944-nucleotide long non-coding RNA is filed under the name Homo sapiens (human). RNAcentral describes it as "non-protein coding lnc-CCDC88C-3:1". Lineage: Eukaryota; Metazoa; Chordata; Mammalia; Primates; Hominidae. The record is from RNAcentral.
GAAAAUGAGGGUUAUAUUAAAAAGCUCCUGGAGCUUUUUCAUGUGUGUGAAGAUUUGGAAAAUAUUGAAGGACUGCACCACUUGUAUGAAAUUAUCAAAGGCAUCUUUCUCUUGAAUCGAACUGCUCUUUUUGAAGUUAUGUUCUCUGAAGAAUGUAUAAUGGACGUCAUUGGAUGUUUAGAAUAUGAUCCUGCUUUAUCACAACCACGAAAACACAGGGAAUUUCUAACAAAAACAGCCAAGUUUAAAGAAGUGAUUCCCAUAUCAGAUCCUGAGCUGAAACAAAAAAUUCAUCAGACAUACAGAGUUCAGUAUAUACAAGAUAUGGUUCUACCAACUCCUUCGGUCUUUGAAGAAAACAUGUUAUCAACACUUCACUCUUUUAUCUUUUUCAAUAAGGUAGAGAUUGUUGGCAUGUUGCAGGAAGAUGAAAAAUUUCUGACAGAUUUGUUUGCACAACUAACAGAUGAAGCAACAGAUGAGGAAAAAAGACAGGAAUUGGUUAACUUUUUAAAAGAAUUUUGUGCGUUUUCCCAAACGCUACAGCCUCAAAACAGAGAUGCUUUUUUCAAGACUUUGUCAAACAUGGGCAUAUUACCAGCUUUAGAAGUCAUCCUUGGCAUGGAUGAUACACAGGUGCGAAGUGCUGCUACUGAUAUAUUCUCAUACUUGGUUGAAUAUAAUCCAUCCAUGGUACGAGAGUUUGUCAUGCAGGAGGCACAACAGAAUGAUGAUGUAAGUAAGAAGUUAACAGAGCAAAAAAUAACCAGCAAGGUAAAUAUUAUUUGUACUAAUAGUAAGUAUUUAUACAUAGGAAGCUAUAACUGUUUUUAUUAUUCACUUUUAAGAUUUAAUUGUUGCUGUUUGGGAAAAGUGUAGCCAUAAUAUCAGACAGCUUAUUGUUCCCCUAAAUUGGUUCCUGUCUCAGUUUAUCAAUUUGUCCUACAGCAACUAUUUAUGUUCAUUUAAAUUGCCUUUUAAAAUAUUCAUGUCAGUUUUUUUUUGUUUUGUUUUGUUUUAAUUCUGAAGUCAACUUGCUAUAUUGUGUUUUUUAAAUCAUUUAGUCAAUCAAUUCUUGUAUCUGGGGAAUUAAGAGUAAGUUACCUAGGAAAACAUUGACUUUAGGGUAGAUUCUCAAAAUCGCCAAGAAUGAAGAAAUGUAGCACAGUCCCUUAAAAUAUGAAGGGUGCUGUUUCUUUACUGCCUAGCCAUAGAGAACAAGCUGUUACGUUGUUCACAAACACUCACGUUAGCAUCUGAGAUAUACCAGAUUUUAAAGUAGUAGAGAAUAUAUCCUGGUAAUGUGAAGGGUGCGCCUGGAUCACAUAGUGCGUGACAUGUGAGAGCACUAAAUGUGUGUGCUCUCCUUUAUUUUAAAAUAAUUGAACCAAUGAUUCUGAUUUUUUCCUGCUUCCCCCAUAACAAUUUGGAAGCAACUUUUUACGUAAGAAUGAGUAAGAAGGACCUGCUCUCAGGUCCUUCUUAAGGGAGGAGGGGAAUAAAGAUCCCCUAAGGAAAAAAAAAAAAUCUGUUUAGAAUUCCAGCCUGUGGUAUUUUUACGAAAUAGGAAAAUAGACUGUCUUACUUUUUGAAAAGAUCCUAUUUAAUGUAUUGUGAUGUCAAAAGGAAAUGGAAUGCCAUGUAACUGCUAUGUUUAAGUUUUUAUUUUUAUAGUGCAGGAUAGGUGCAAAAAAGCACCAGUUUGAACUGUUGUGUCAUGUUUUUCUUUUAUAAAAUAUUAACAUCGGCCUCAGCAACAUAGCAAGACCCUCCUUUAGUACAAAAUUAAUUUUUAAAACUUAGAUAUGGUGGCAUGCACCCAUAGUCCCAGAUACUCAGGAGGAUGAGAAGGAAGAGUCUCUUAAGACCAGGAGUUUGACUCUGCAGUGAGCUAUGAUUGCUCCACUGCACUCCAGUCUGGGUGACGAAGCCAGACCCCAUCUC